Molecule: ribosomal RNA, 467 nt
Filed under: uncultured bacterium
Lineage: Bacteria
Description: partial 16S ribosomal RNA
Rfam family: Bacterial small subunit ribosomal RNA
Source: RNAcentral
GACGAACGCUGGCGGCGUGCUUAACACAUGCAAGUCGAACGGAAAGGCCUCUUUCGGGGGGUACUCGAGUGGCGAACGGGUGAGUAGCACGUGAGUAACCUGCCCUUGACUUUGGGAUAACUUCAGGAAACUGGGGCUAAUACCGGAUAGGAGCUCCUGCUGCAUGGUGGGGGUUGGAAAGUUUCGGCGGUUGGGGAUGGACUCGCGGCUUAUCAGCUUGUUGGUGGGGUAGUGGCUUACCAAGGCUUUGACGGGUAGCCGGCCUGAGAGGGUGACCGGCAAAAGUGGGAAAGAGAAAGGGCCAGGAAUCCGCGGGGGGGAGGAGGGGGGGAAUAGUGCACAAGGGGUGGGGGCCUGAUACGGCAACGCCGGGGGCGGGGUGACGGCCUGGGGGUUGAAAACCGCUUUCGCGCGGGAAAAAGCUUGGGGGGAGGGUAGUGGGUAAAAAAGCACCGGCAAACUACGGG